CCUCUCUGGCUCUCUUUGUGCCGGCGACCGAUCCUCCUUUCCUCCUCACGGCAGAGCACCCCGGCAAGAGCACCAUUCCUCCCCUUACUGUGCCGUGCCUAGUUUAGGUGCGGCCGAGCCUUCCUUUGUGUUCUAGGUUCCGGUUGAGAAUCUGUGCGGUGGAUUUUAGCAGCAAAGCUGUAAAACUUCAGCAGUAACGAUCCUUGCUAUAGAGCCACAGCGACUGUGGUUGAGCAACCUUUUGAUUUACAGCAGCAAUUUAUCUUUGCUAGCAGUAAGUUUUGUUUUCAAGCAGCAUCUUGGUCCAGCAGCAGUAAGGACUGUGAUUCGAGAUUGGGCGUCUCGACAUCGGAUUGGUUCGAUU
Long non-coding RNA from Zingiber officinale, 364 nucleotides. RefSeq lists it as uncharacterized. The transcript is spliced from 4 exons. Lineage: Eukaryota; Viridiplantae; Streptophyta; Magnoliopsida; Zingiberales; Zingiberaceae. The record is from RefSeq and is a predicted model, not a curated record.